AAGUCCCUGGCUGGUGACAGCAGGUUAUAUUUGGGUGUAGAGCUCAGGGAAUGGCUUUCCUUCUUACAUUCACUUUUGUUUAAGCUUGCAAAAUGAGGGUCUCUUCUGAAGACCUAAUGAACCUUUUACAUGCACUUUGCAAAGGUAGUAACAGAGUCUCCCCUGAAUAUUUGAUCUCCGGCAACCUUGGUUUCCUUUUACAAGAGGAACUUGACAUUGCUGGCUCUUCUGCUGUGGAACCCUGGCUUCUUGGGUUUCUCUCCUUGCUAUGUAGCACAGCAUGAGGGUUGGACAAGAGCCUGACUGUCAUCCUUUCCUUAAUGUUUUUGUUUGUGUUACUGUCAAGUAUCAUAUUCUUAAAGGUUGAAAUCCUGUCCUUUCUUGAGAGCAGAUUAGAAAAAAAAAACAUGACUAUGUAUUACACUGCCUCUGUAUGAGAUGCCUUUUAUUAUUAAUGAAGGUAUCGUAUUCCAGGGCACACUAGUCACUGGCUUAUUCAGGUCAGGAGCUGGGAACCUUUCUGUAAGCUGUGUUUGGCCUGUAGCCUCACAGUGAUGUGACUACAAAAUAGUUUUCAUUGUAGGUGUUCCACACACAGGCCGUGACCACAGUGCAGCGUGUGGCAGGUAGUGAAGAGAGGUUCAUUUUCCAGCUUAGCUGUUAGCUUUCUGGCAGAGAGGGCAGGGAGGAGCCCUCUCUAGCAACCCCUGUGUCCCACCCUUUUGUCCUUUUGAGAUGAACACUGCUCAUAAUUUGUGGCAGGUCUGUUCAUGUGCCAGCGACUUGAAGUGCUCAACAUAUGUUAUGUCAUUUAAGCCUCAAAAGAAUUUUACAGGGUAGAGAAAAUUAUUAUCUUUAUAAAUAAGCAAACUGAAAGGGACAUUGAAGAAAUUAAAGGGCUCUUGGGAAGCCAGAGGUGGCCCUAGGCUUUGGGGAGUUUGUAGGUGGCCAGCACGCAGGUGGCCUAGGGCCCCUACUUUUUAGGAGACAGAGGUCCUGGAUAGGCGCCAGGAAAGUGGCCCAUGUAAGGGAGGCUCCUUAGCACGCAGCCAGACAUGCUCCUCGGUGGUAGGGAAGGGGACAGACAGAUCGCCUGUAGACAAAACAGCUAUUGAUUUAAUAUUAGAUUUGGUGGGUUCUGUUGAUUCCAUUUGUUUAUAUAGUUUUUUGUCCAUGGGUCUUCAAGAUGAGCCUCAGGUAAAAUUAUCAUUUGACUUGUUGUAAUGGUUACUACUGGGCAUUACACAUGCUCCACAAAGCAAAAAAUAUCCAUAGACUCUUAAUAUGAGCCCCUUGGGCCAGCAAGCAGAGGCUGCACUUGUUUGCUAGUCUCUGUGGUGAGUUGAAGUCUGUAAUAGCUCUUAGUCAUCAUCCUGUCAAUACAGUGUCAGUGAGCCAGGGUGAGCGCAGGUUGCAGUAUGGACUCUGAAGGCCUAAAGCAAAAGCUCUUUGUCAAUGUUUUGCCAGACUGUAGGGAAACCAGUAAGGAGGGGUCCGGCAUGUGAGGUUUAGGGACAGCCACUCAUCUUUAUUUUUCAGCUGUGAGAGUUUGUUACUUUGCAGCAUCCAUUUCCCAUCCUUUCUACCACAGAAUUCAUGUAAGAGUAAGAAACUGAAAUAUGCAAAAGACACAUCUGGGGAAACGUCUGGGUCCAGGCUCACCCAGGAGAGAGGUAUACUGUAUUGUGGAGCUGGUACCCAGGUACAGUUGUCAUUGUCAGUGUGCUCAAGACAGCUGGUGGCGAUGAGAAGAAGGGUGCUGCCUUUUUCUCUGCAAGCUGGUGAGAAUCCAGAUGCAGCGUGGCCAGGAACAAGACCCAGUGUGCAGAACAGGGAUUUGUUCUCUUGCAGGUGGUGAGUUUUCUGGAACAUCUUUCUUACCUUUCCCAGAGAGUAACAGUGGCUCCUGUCUCCGUUAGCCCAGUGUCUUGGCUCAGAAGUCACUCAGUGCUGUCUUUCCCGCAGGCACACUUGGGAACACUGUGCAUCAAGUGGAAAAGGCUUCUCUGAAUAGGUGUAGCCUGUGGUGGUUUGCGCGGCUUGGGGAGCAGGUAAGAGGCUGAACUCCUGUUCCCAGCUCCCUUUUCUGUGGGUGCUCUCGUGCAAUGAACUCCCGUGUCACUAAGUAUGGGGGCCUUGUGUAUUAGUGCUUAUAUUUUCUUAUAGGUAUAAGAAAGGUAUAAAGGUAAGCUUCAGAAACCUUUCCAGGAGCAACAUGAGGUGUAAAACCAAAGAAUCUGUGUGACAGAUAAAUCUGAGUAGGCUACUCUUUCUCUGCUAGGUCGAGAGGAGCAAGUGGGUCUGGAGUGAAUGGUUUCUUACACCUGGUGGGUUAGGGAUGCAAUCCCAGAGAAGGAUACUCUAGAAAUGCAAUAUUCAAAGCAGAUUGCACAGCAGGCCAGAUCUCUGGUGAGAGGUGAGGCCAGGUGUAGGCAGGAAUUUAGCAUGGAUCUUCCAUCCACUCCUCAUACUGGGGAUUGACCUCAGGGCCUUCACACUGGGCUACAUUCCAAACCCUUUUUAUGUUUUAUUUUGAGAUCCAUCUCACUAAAUUGCUCAGAUUAAACUCAAAGUCCUGAUCCUCCUGCCUCAGCUUUCCAGAGUGCUGGGGUUACAAGGGUUGUGCUGCCACGCCCAACUCAGUAUGGAUUUUGAGUCCUGGAUGUGAAGCUUUUGGAACAGGAAGAGGAUAUGUCAGAUGGCAGCUGAAACACAAGAAAAGCUGUCCUUACCUGACCAGAGCCAGUGCCUUAGGAAAGGCAGGCAGGAGAACAGAGCAGAGGAGGAGGGAGGUAGUAGAGGGAGGAGAAGCAGGGUGAUAAUAGUGGUGCUUUUCUAAGGUCUGGGGGAUUCAAUUUUUAGCUCUGCUCACUUUAUUACAAUUUAUUCCUUCCUUCAAGGGCAAAUAUCUACUAAGUUUUCCUGGAUGCCAGCUACUGUGAUUGAAAGAGGAGUUCACAGUUCACUGAGGAACACAAAGUGCUGGUCAUACUCUGAUGAAAUACAGGGUUGUGGCCACACAGCAUGAAUAAGGAGUCAGUACUGGGGACAAGUAAAGGAUGGCACCACAUUCUCCUCUUACAACACUGCAUGAGGAAGGAAGAGUUUUCUGCGAUGUGGAACGCAGGUGCCACAAGAUGCGAUGAAGAACGUAACAGGAGCCAGCUUGGUGAAGGAAGAAUGUGAAUCACUGCACCCAGACUGAGACAACAAGUGACAGUGGGAGGAUCACAAGUCUGAGCCUAGCAUGGACAACUCAGUGACUUAGUGAGACCCUGUCUCAACAUAAAAAUAAAAAUUGUUGGAGACGUUGCUCAGUGGGAAGGCCUUGUGUUCAAUCCCCAGACACACAUGCACACACGCACGCACAUGUUUGUGCCCUUGGGGGUUUCUAAACGUCAAUGUCCUGUCCUUCAUAAGUCUGGAGAGCCUGUGGAGCCUUGCAGCCUGGUCUGGAGCUUUUGGAAUUUCCGUCACCUUUUGUUCAUUUACUAUCAGCAAAGCCAUCUGAGAGUCUAUGCUGUUAUCAGCAGUAGAGCACACAACCACAUGGACAGAUCCAGGAGAAAGAGUCAAAUAUCCAUCAUUCCAGAGAUAAGGUCAAACUCCAAGCUAAGCUCACCCUGGACUCCCUGCUGACUGGGAAGUUCAAGGCAUUGUAGGACAAAGCCAAGUUUAAACCUCCCCUGCUUCUAGUUAUAUGACCUUGGGCAAGCUCAUUACCCUCUCCAAACUGUAUCUUCCCAUUUGUAAAGCAAGGGUCAUCAUGUCUAACGCACAGGGCUGAAAUGACAGUAAUUGAGGCAAAGUUUAUAA
Cavia porcellus (domestic guinea pig) is the source of this 3816-nucleotide long non-coding RNA. RefSeq lists it as uncharacterized. Lineage: Eukaryota; Metazoa; Chordata; Mammalia; Rodentia; Caviidae. The record is from RefSeq and is a predicted model, not a curated record. The transcript has 3 exons.